Long non-coding RNA from Nicotiana tabacum (common tobacco), 1410 nucleotides. RefSeq lists it as uncharacterized. Lineage: Eukaryota; Viridiplantae; Streptophyta; Magnoliopsida; Solanales; Solanaceae. The record is from RefSeq and is a predicted model, not a curated record.
CUGCUCUCUGAAUCGCCAUUUUUUCUUCUUUCUUCUUUUUCUGUUGUUGCUUCUUCCCUAAUUGCUUUUCUCUGCUCUCCACAAUUUGAAACGACAUCCACCUUAUUUCGCAAUCAAUCCAUUAGAUCCAUCGGUGAAUCCUUUAAUCAAAGGGGACUUUAGUGUAGAGUCGAAGGACUCAUGCCUUAACAGUGUCCUUUGACGAAUCUCUAAGUUAACGUCAAACACCGAUUUGACUUAAGAAUUUUAAUUGUAUAAUUCACCGUUGCUAGUCCUUUUGGUUUUAGUGUUGUGUUUAUAGUUGUUGCUUUUGACAUUUUACACUACAAGAAAAAACCUUAUUAGGGACUAGCAUUUAGCCUAAAAGUGUACUUACAGGGAUGAGAAUUUUUAUUGGUCUUUAACACGCAAUUUAAUCUUCUAAAUACAUGACCACACUUAUUCUGGUCUAUACAAAAGUUAAUAUCUGGUCUCUAAUAGUGCUUGAUUUCAGCGGGAUAGGAGCACCAAACUGAUGAAAACCAAAGUAAAAAAAAAUGCUCCAACAAAUUUCACGGUAAUCCCUCCAAAUUCACUUUCACCCUAACAUCCCUCCAAAAUACUUUCACAAAAUGCCUAAACUUCAUCCCUAAGAGGCGAAACUAAAAAGUAGGCCAUGGCGCUGCUAAACUUCAUCAAAAUUCAGAAGGUUGCAAAGAACUCAGAAGGUUGGUGUCGAAAAUUCAUCUCUCUCCAAGCGACUCCACACAAAGUAUACCAUUAGAUUAUCCGCCUAAUCAAGAGUAUAAUUACUGCUCUAGAAGAUGCUCGAGACUCUGGUGAACUUGUUCCUCUACUUAAGGAAAUUCUAGGGAGAGAGGAUUCAUCAGAGCUCAAGUCUAAAGCUGCUAAGGCUGUCAUAGACAGUAUUCCUCAAUUGUUGGAGCUAACUGAUUUGGUGAUUGAGAAUAAGCUGGUGGAAGCUCUUCUAAAGCUUCUGCAUUUUCCAUAUGGUAAUGUUUGUGAGCAGUGGAGAAACUGGGAAAGGUUGCUCAAUCCGUUGUAGGUCGUGAUUAUGCUCUAAUUGAGUGUGGGGCUUUGGAUGAUUUUAUGGAAAUUUUGAACAACAUUAACGAGAUUUCAAUGCUGAGAAAAACCACGUGGACUAUAUCAAAAUUUUGUGGAGGCAGGCCAAAACCGCCUUUUGAGAAGGUCGAUUAAUUAUUGUUGAUUUUUUUUUUUGCAUCUGCAACUAUUUGAUGCUAAACAUUACUGAUUACAAUUCAAUUGUCAGGUGAAACCAGCAUUCCCAACUCGUCGUAACUGUUAGUUUAUAGAUAUGUAUAGUGUAGUCUUGUCCCACAUUGGAAGAGGAGUAAUAUCUCCUUGUAGUGUAUAGCUAUAAAUAGGGACAUCUUGUAUUGUAUUUAU